This is a long non-coding RNA of Oryctolagus cuniculus (rabbit), 1527 nucleotides long. The record is from Ensembl. NCBI's taxonomy places the organism in Eukaryota, Metazoa, Chordata, Mammalia, Lagomorpha, Leporidae.
UGGUCAGCCUUUUCCUGUUGCCCAAGGGUAGCAAUUUCCACUGCAGAGAACAUACUUCUUGCAUGUCCUUUGGUAAUCGUGACAGCCCAGCGGUCUCCCUGGCUGUCCACACAGCAGCAGCCUGCUGUGCUGCGAGGAGAAACGCUGGGCCCUCCUGGUCUGUGCUGGCAGGAAGCCUGCGGCCCAAGCCCUGCUCAGCAGUCUGGGAUUGCACAUCUCACGCAGUGUGUCGGUGCCGGGAAGGCCGCGGGGCAGUGCGGGCAGAGGCACAGGUCACCCCGAGGAAACUCACAAGACGAACGCCAACCCGGUCCACGUAAGAGCCAGACUCAGAGCACUGCAGAGCCCCCUUUCCACACAGUGUCCGGGCUGGGGCAGAGCCCAGGUGCUGACCCCCAACCCCAGGACGACGUCACAAAGGUGAGGCACAUUGCCCGGAACUCCAAGGCUCAGAAGAACCCAGGAGUUGGGAGCUGUGGCCCAGAGGCCAGAGGAGAACCGAGAGAAGCGCCACGCCCACUCUGCAGGCACGGAGGCAGCGAGGACGAGAGGCGCAAGGGCACCGGGUUGCUGAUGAGGAAGCAGAGUGCCGGAUCUGGAGCGCGGGGCUCCACGCCUGAGAUUUCACAGCCAGGACCUUGCCACACAGGGCCCAGGGCGAGCAGCACCCGGGUCACCCACCAACGCGCCAGAGCCUGCCUUUUCAUCAGGAGUCCCACUGAAGAGCGAGAAUUCUACCUUCCUGCAGGUGGUCCUGACACUCAGCGUCGGGGUGUCCAGCCCCCCGGUCCCCAGGCUGGGAACCCUGGCAGUGAAGCCUUGGAGACCCUGCGGACGAUGCUGCACAAACAGAGAACCAUGGCUAGGUGGGGACUCGGCAAAGACAGGUUAGACGCUGCGUCUCUGUUGCUUUGGGGCUCCAGCUCUCCGGUCACAUCUCCGUCCAAACUUGCACCAACGCUCCAGAGGGCUGAGGUCUUGGAAGGAUGCACUUCCAUCAUGCUGCCGUCUCGCUGGGUGGAGGGGGAUGUCCAGUCGCUUUCCUGCGUGCCCUGUCUGAGGGCGAUGACGCUGAGGGCCUUCAGUCUCCAGCCAGUCCUCUGAACGCCCUGCUCUGGUAGGGCUCAUGCCUUUGGAGUCCGCAACAGCAGCAUCCCGGAAGGCCCCGUCACCUGGCACCGUUUUCCUGACAUGCCCGCCCUCCGUUUCCAGCUGGAUCCUGUCACUCCCGCUUUCCUCACCCUACAGCUUUCCUGCCCCCACACUGGGAUGCAUUUCUGUGCCCUUGCAGUCUCCCACACAGCCCCUGACAGCAUGCUCCGCCCCAGAGGCCCCUCCAACGCCUUACGCAGUGGCCAGACCCUGGCCUGCCCCUACCUGGCUGCCUGACUGCAGGUCUAUUUCUCCUAGAAAGAGCAUGUGCCGUCGGAUAGAAGACCAACCUCUCUCUCUCUCUCUGCCUCUCCUCCCUCUGUGUAACCAUGACUUUCAAAUAAAUAAAUAAAUCUUAAAAAAAAGAAAGAGCGU